RNAcentral lists this ribosomal RNA (520 nucleotides) under uncultured bacterium. Its description in RNAcentral is "partial 16S ribosomal RNA". The record is from RNAcentral.
GGAGUUAGCCGGUGCUUCUUCUGCGAGUAACGUCACAGAUGUAAGGUAUUAACUUACACCCUUUCCUCCUCGCUGAAAGUGCUUUACAACCCGAAGGCCUUCUUCACACACGCGGCAUGGCUGCAUCAGGGUUUCCCCCAUUGUGCAAUAUUCCCCACUGCUGCCUCCCGUAGGAGUCUGGGCCGUGUCUCAGUCCCAGUGUGGCUGAUCAUCCUCUCAGACCAGCUAGGGAUCGUCGCCUAGGUGAGCCUUUACCUCACCUACUAGCUAAUCCCACCUGGGCUUAUCCAUCAGCGCAAGGCCCGAAGGUCCCCUGCUUUCCCCCGUAGGGCGUAUGCGGUAUUAGCAGUCGUUUCCAACUGUUAUCCCCCACAAAUGGGCAAAUUCCCAGGCAUUACUCACCCGUCCGCCGCUCGUCAUCUUCAAAAGCAAGCUUUUGAAAUGUUACCGCUCGACUUGCAUGUGUUAGGCCUGCCGCCAGCGUUCAAUCUGAGCCAGUANACACACUNACAGAGCGGCG